GACUCUGUGGGCGCAAUGGGUAGCGCGUUCUGACUUCAGAUCAGAAGGGCUGCCAUGGUUCAAAUCCACGUCAGGUUCA
RNAcentral lists this transfer RNA (79 nucleotides) under Gasterosteus aculeatus (three-spined stickleback). It matches the Rfam family "tRNA". Rfam says of the family: Transfer RNA (tRNA) molecules are approximately 80 nucleotides in length. Their secondary structure includes four short double-helical elements and three loops (D, anti-codon, and T loops). Lineage: Eukaryota; Metazoa; Chordata; Actinopteri; Perciformes; Gasterosteidae. The record is from Rfam by way of RNAcentral.